AAUAUCAAUCCCCGAGGGUUUUUCCUCCCGGUGGACUUGGACCUGGGCGUCUGCCUCACAAGGCUCGCCUCAAAUGACUCUGUGGGAACUUCUUGACCUACGCCUGACGUGAUAAGUUUCGUCCAUGGCCGGUCCCGAGGCCCGCACACAACCCCCAUUAUCUUUUGA
RNAcentral lists this unclassified non-coding RNA (168 nucleotides) under uncultured Basidiomycota. RNAcentral's name for it is "sequence contains ITS2". Lineage: Eukaryota; Fungi; Basidiomycota. The record is from RNAcentral.